This 1267-nucleotide ribosomal RNA is filed under the name metagenome. RNAcentral describes it as "bacterial SSU rRNA". It matches the Rfam family "Archaeal small subunit ribosomal RNA", at positions 170 to 1445 of the family's 1478-position model. The record is from RNAcentral.
GUGGAACAUCCCUUUACUCAAAGGCAACGCCUAAGGAUGAAUCGGCGGUGGAUUAGGUUGUUGGUGAGGUAAAGGCUCACCAAGCCGAAGAUCCGUAGGGGUCCUGAGAGGGGUAGCCCCGAGAAGGGCACUGAGACACUGGCCCUAGCUCUACGGAGUGCAGCAGGCGCGAAACCUUUACAAUGCACGCAAGUGUGAUAAGGGAAUCCUAAGUGCUUAUGCUUUGCAUAGGCUUUUGCUAAGAGUAAAUAUCUCAGCGAAUAAGUGGUGGGCAAGACUGGUGCCAGCCGCCGCGGUAACACCAGCGCCACGAGUGGCGACCGCAAUUAUUGGGCCUAAAGCGUUCGUAGCCGUUUUAAUAAAUCUUUUGUGAAAUUAUUGGGCUAAAUCCAACAACGUGCAGAAGACACUGUUAGAAUUGGGACCGGGAGAGGUUAAAGGUAUGUUGGGGGGAGCGGUAAAAUGCUAUAAUCCUCGAUAGACCACCUGUGGCGAAGGCGUUUAACCAGAACGGAUCCGACGGUGAGGAACGAAAGCCAGGGGAGCAAACCGGAUUAGAUACCCGAGUAGUCCUGGCUGUAAACUCUGCGAGCUAGGUGUUGCAUAUUCUUGUGAAUGUGCAGUGUCGUAAUGAAGAUGUUAAGCUCGCCGCCUGGGAAGUACGGUCGCAAGACUGAAACUUAAAGGAAUUGGCGGGGGAGCACUACAAGGGGUGCGGCGUGCGGUUUAAUCCAAUUCAACACGGAAAAUCUCACCAGGGCCGACGGUAGGAUGAAAGUCGGGCUAAAGACUCUACUUGACAAGCCGAGAGGUAGUGCAUGGCCGCCGUCAGCUCGUGCCGUAAGGUGUCCUGUUAAGUCAGGCAACGAGCGAGACCUAUAUCUACAAUUGCUAACAAAUCCUUUAGGAUGAUUGAGCACAUUGUAGGGACUGCCUUGGAAACAAGGAGGAAGGUGUAGGCUACGGUAGGUCUGUAUGCUCCGAAUGCUCUGGGCUACACGCGCGCAACAAUGGUAAGGACAAUGGGAUACAACUCCGAAAGGAGAAGUUAAUCCUCUAAACCUUAUCUUAGUCCAGAUUGAGGACUGUAACUCAUCCUCAUGACGAUGGAAUCCCUAGUAAUCAGAGUUCAUCAUACUCUGAUGAAUAUGUCCCUGCUCCUUGCACACACCGCCCGUCAAACCACCCGAGUAGGGUUUAGGUGAGGUUUAGUUUUCAACUAAUUCGAACCUAAACUCAGCGAGGAGGGUUAAGUCGUCACAAGGUA